AACGAACGCUGGCGGCAGGCUUAACACAUGCAAGUCGAACGGGCACUUCGGUGCUAGUGGCAGACGGGUGAGUAACGCGUGGGAACGUGCCUUUCGGUUCGGAAUAAUUCAGGGAAACUUGGACUAAUACCGGAUACGCCCUUCGGGGGAAAGAUUUAUCGCCGAAAGAUCGGCCCGCGUCUGAUUAGCUAGUUGGUGAGGUAAAGGCUCACCAAGGCGACGAUCAGUAGCUGGUCUGAGAGGAUGAUCAGCCACAUUGGGACUGAGACACGGCCCAAACUCCUACGGGAGGCAGCAGUGGGGAAUAUUGGACAAUGGGCGCAAGCCUGAUCCAGCCAUGCCGCGUGAGUGAUGAAGGCCUUAGGGUUGUAAAGCUCUUUCAGCUGGGAAGAUAAUGACGGUACCAGCAGAAGAAGCCCCGGCUAACUCCGUGCCAGCCGCCGCAGUAACAC
Molecule: ribosomal RNA, 452 nt
Filed under: uncultured bacterium
Lineage: Bacteria
Description: bacterial SSU rRNA
Rfam family: Bacterial small subunit ribosomal RNA
Source: RNAcentral